UACGAAGGGGGCUAGCGUUGUUCGGAAUUACUGGGCGUAAAGGGCGCGUAGGCGGCUGUGCAAGUCAGAUGUGAAAGCCCUGGGCUCAACCCAGGAUGUGCAUUUGAUACUGCGCGGCUAGAGUGUCGGAGAGGAUGGUGGAAUUCCCAGUGUAGAGGUGAAAUUCGUAGAUAUUGGGAAGAACACCGGUGGCGAAGGCGACCAUCUGGACGACAACUGACGCUGAGGCGCGAAAGCGUGGUGAGCAAACAGG
RNAcentral lists this ribosomal RNA (253 nucleotides) under uncultured bacterium. Its description in RNAcentral is "partial 16S ribosomal RNA". It matches the Rfam family "Bacterial small subunit ribosomal RNA", at positions 524 to 776 of the family's 1533-position model. The record is from RNAcentral.